This 463-nucleotide ribosomal RNA is filed under the name uncultured Bacteroidales bacterium. RNAcentral's name for it is "bacterial SSU rRNA". It matches the Rfam family "Bacterial small subunit ribosomal RNA", at positions 335 to 796 of the family's 1533-position model. The record is from RNAcentral. Lineage: Bacteria; Pseudomonadati; Bacteroidota; Bacteroidia; Bacteroidales.
AUCCUACGGGGGGCAGCAGUGAGGAAUAUUGGUCAAUGGGCGGGAGCCUGAACCAGCCAAGUCGCGUGAAGGAAGAAGGAUCUAUGGUUCGUAAACUUCUUUUGCAGGGGAAUAAAGUGCGGGACGUGUCCUGUUUUGUAUGUACCCUGAGAAUAAGGAUCGGCUAACUCCGUGCCAGCAGCCGCGGUAAUACGGAGGAUCCGAGCGUUAUCCGGAUUCAUUGGGUUUAAAGGGUGCGUAGGCGGACUAUUAAGUCAGUGGUGAAAUCCUGCAGCUUAACUGCAGAACUGCCAUUGAUACUGAUAGCCUUGAGUUUGGUUAAGGUAGGCGGAAUGUGUAAUGUAGCGGUGAAAUGCUUAGAUAUUACACAGAACACCAAUUGCGUAGGCAGCUUACUGAGCCGACACUGACGCUGAGGCACGAAAGCGUGGGGAUCGAACAGGAUUAGAUACCCUAGUAGACG